UGGGGAAUCUUGGGCAAUGGGCGAAAGCCUGACCCAGCGACCCCGCGUUGGGGAUGAAGCCCUUCGGGGUGUAAACCCAUGUUGUAGGGGACGAAGAAAGUGACGGUACCCUAAGAGGAAGCCCCGGCUAACUACGUGCCAGCAGCCGCGGUAAGACGUAGGGGGCGAGCGUUGUCCGGAAUUACUGGGCGUAAAGGGCACGCAGGCGGUGCGCCAAGUCGAGGGUGUAAAGUUACGGCUCAACCGUGACAUUGCAAUCUAUACUGGUGCGCUGUAGUGCAGGAGAGGGAAGUGGAAUUCCCGGUGUAGCGGUGAAAUGCGUUGUAUCGAGAGGAACUCCAGUGGCGAACGCUGCUUCCUGGCACUGAACUGACGCUCAUGUGCGAAAGCCAGCGGAGCGAACC
This 404-nucleotide ribosomal RNA is filed under the name uncultured Acetomicrobium sp. Its description in RNAcentral is "bacterial SSU rRNA". It matches the Rfam family "Bacterial small subunit ribosomal RNA", at positions 355 to 774 of the family's 1533-position model. The record is from RNAcentral. Lineage: Bacteria; Thermotogati; Synergistota; Synergistia; Synergistales; Acetomicrobiaceae.